This 253-nucleotide ribosomal RNA is filed under the name uncultured bacterium. RNAcentral's name for it is "partial 16S ribosomal RNA". It matches the Rfam family "Bacterial small subunit ribosomal RNA", at positions 524 to 776 of the family's 1533-position model. The record is from RNAcentral.
UACGAAGGGGGCUAGCGUUACUCGGAAUUACUGGGCGUAAAGGGCGCGUAGGCGGCCAUGUAAGUGAGGCGUGAAAUUCCUGGGCUUAACCUGGGGACUGCGCUUCAUACUGCGUGGCUUGAGGAUGGAAGAGGGUCGUGGAAUUCCCAGUGUAGAGGUGAAAUUCGUAGAUAUUGGGAAGAACACCGGUGGCGAAGGCGGCGACCUGGUCCAUUACUGACGCUGAGGCGCGACAGCGUGGGGAGCAAACAGG